AGUACCGUGAGGGAAAGGCGAAAAGAACCCCGGCGAGGGGAGUGAAAAAGAACCUGAAACCGUGUACGUACAAGCAGUGGGAGCCUCUUUAUGGGGUGACUGCGUACCUUUUGUAUAAUGGGUCAGCGACUUAUAUUCUGUAGCAAGGUUAACCGAAUAGGGGAGCCGAAGGGAAACCGAGUCUUAACUGGGCGUUAAGUUGCAGGGUAUAGACCCGAAACCCGGUGAUCUAGCCAUGGGCAGGUUGAAGGUUGGGUAACACUAACUGGAGGACCGAACCGACUAAUGUUGAAAAAUUAGCGGAUGACUUGUGGCUGGGGGUGAAAGGCCAAUCAAACCGGGAGAUAGCUGGUUCUCCCCGAAAGCUAUUUAGGUAGCGCCUCGUGAAUUCAUCUCCGGGGGUAGAGCACUGUUUCGGCAAGGGGGUCAUCCCGACUUACCAACCCGAUGCAAACUGCGAAUACCGGAGAAUGUUAUCACGGGAGACACACGGCGGGUGCUAACGUCCGUCGUGAAGAGGGAAACAACCCAGACCGCCAGCUAAGGUCCCAAAGUCAUGGUUAAGUGGGAAACGAUGUGGGAAGGCCCAGACAGCCAGGAUGUUGGCUUAGAAGCAGCCAUCAUUUAAAGAAAGCGUAAUAGCUCACUGGUCGAGUCGGCCUGCGCGGAAGAUGUAACGGGGCUAAACCAUG
Molecule: ribosomal RNA, 692 nt
Filed under: Escherichia coli
Lineage: Bacteria; Pseudomonadati; Pseudomonadota; Gammaproteobacteria; Enterobacterales; Enterobacteriaceae
Description: partial 23S ribosomal RNA
Rfam family: Bacterial large subunit ribosomal RNA
Source: RNAcentral